UGCCAGCCGCCGCGGUAAUACGUAGGUGGCAAGCGUUGUCCGGAUUUACUGGGCGUAAAGAGUGUGUAGGCGGAUAAUUAAGUCAGGUGUGAAAUCCCGAGGCUCAACCUCGGAGGUGCAUUUGAUACUGGUUAUCUAGAGUGCAGGAGAGGAGAGUGGAAUUCCUAGUGUAGCGGUGAAAUGCGUAGAGAUUAGGAAGAACACCAGUGGCGAAGGCGACUCUCUGGACUGUAACUGACGCUGAGGCGCGAAGGCGUGGGUAGCGAACGGGAUUAGAUA
This 279-nucleotide ribosomal RNA is filed under the name uncultured bacterium. RNAcentral's name for it is "partial 16S ribosomal RNA". It matches the Rfam family "Bacterial small subunit ribosomal RNA", at positions 506 to 784 of the family's 1533-position model. The record is from RNAcentral.